Scleropages formosus (Asian bonytongue) is the source of this 1154-nucleotide long non-coding RNA. RefSeq lists it as uncharacterized. The record is from RefSeq and is a predicted model, not a curated record. The transcript is spliced from 9 exons. NCBI's taxonomy places the organism in Eukaryota, Metazoa, Chordata, Actinopteri, Osteoglossiformes, Osteoglossidae.
UCAGUGGCGGCUCUCCGCCCCUUCAGUCCUUCGGACUUCUCGUUGACGUCUGAAUGAAAAUUGGCUGGUUGACCGCCGAAAAAGCGGGAAAACAUGGCUUCGGCUUUGCGGCAGUUGGUCAAUAAUGUUCACAAACUUUCGGUUCAAGGUCAGAUGACGCAGCUCUGUGAACUCAUCAACAAGAGUGGGGAAAUUGCUGGCCGAAAAAGCUGUCUCAUCUGGACGCAGUGCAGGGGGCCUUGGACAUUCAGGCGCAUUCCUUAGGGGUUUUGGCAGUGCUGUGAGUGCUCCUAGGACCAAGAGGCAGGCCAUUUAGAGGGAUUAACAUACUCAGGCAGGCAAUAGACAAAAUGCAGAUGAAUUCAAAUCAUCUUACCUCACUUCAUGCAGAUCUGUGUCGGGCUAUAACUACUCCAGCCAUGGCCGUCAGUCGCAUUAUGCUAGCACAUUCUGGUAUCCCUGAUUUUGGAUGGAAAGUACAGCAGCUUCCCAAAUAUAGAUCCCAGGUUGUGGGGCGAUUUAUUAAGGCGAAUUGACAAAUAAUUUUGCAUCGAAAAUUUUGUUUUAAUGGGAAGCAGUGCCUACUGUGAACUUGCACGGGCGUACACCACAAACGGCCCCGUGGAGCUGCGCAAAGUGGUGACGAGGCAUGCAGAGAUGUUCAUGAAGGACAGCAACAUGGGUCUGGUGACAUGGUGUCUCUCCUUCCUCUUACAAGAAGAACAUCCAGAGUCUAACCAAGACAUUUUCAAUGCUGUCUUUAUAGGACAUCUCAAGUACAGUUGUCCACUCCCCAACAAGCGUGAAAGUACGUCUUACACAUGACAGAAGAUGGUUAAGAUUUAUGCCAGUAUCAACCAGAAAAAUAGUUAUGGUCAAUUUCUGUGACAACCCAGAGAAAUACAGUAUCCCUCAAUGCUCCGCAGAAUUGACCAAGAGAUACUGAAGGGUAUAGAACUGGAUGACAGGCUAAAGACCGUGGAUCAAGAGAUCACAGUAAACCCACAGUUUAUACAGAAGAGUACGGGAUCGCAGGAUGACGAUGUUGGAAGCAAGACGUCCAGCUUCCCCUGAAGUCUGUGGCAGAAUUCGGUGCCUCAAAUCAGGUUCUUGUGAGAAGUUUAUUCCAAAUAUUAAAAAAAAAAAAAAAAAAA